CUCCUGCAAUAUAAAGUAUAGGAGGUCCAGCCUGCCCAGUGACUACGGGUUCAACGGCCGCGGUAUAUUGACCGUGCAAAGGUAGCGCAAUCACUUGUCUCUUAAAUAGAGACCUGUAUGAAUGGCUAGACGAGGGCUUAACUGUCUCCCCCUUCCAGUCAGUGAAAUUGAUCUAUCCGUGCAGAAGCGGGUAUAAUUCUAC
This 202-nucleotide ribosomal RNA is filed under the name Pimephales promelas (fathead minnow). RNAcentral describes it as "partial 16S ribosomal RNA". It matches the Rfam family "Bacterial large subunit ribosomal RNA", at positions 1820 to 2076 of the family's 2925-position model. Lineage: Eukaryota; Metazoa; Chordata; Actinopteri; Cypriniformes; Leuciscidae. The record is from RNAcentral.